Long non-coding RNA from Juglans regia (Persian walnut), 3465 nucleotides. RefSeq lists it as uncharacterized. The transcript has 2 exons. The record is from RefSeq and is a predicted model, not a curated record. Lineage: Eukaryota; Viridiplantae; Streptophyta; Magnoliopsida; Fagales; Juglandaceae.
UUGAAAGAACUAUAAUUUGUUCCAAUAUUUGUGUUAAGUGCAUAUGCACUUAAUUUAUGUUUGUAUAGAGAGAUCAGUACAAAAACACACACAUAUUGAUUUAAACAUAAUACAUUUUGUUGUCAUUAGGACCAUAUAUCUCUAAUUUUUUCCAUUUUGUUGUCAUUGUCAUCAUUGUCUAAGUCAAUACAUUUGACUGGGGUCAUCUGUUUGAAGAUCAUUUGAUGGCUUUGCUUAGUGCUAUUGAAGUGGGCCACUCUUAUCAGGGAUUGGCCUCUACUUCUAGGCAAUGUGCAAGAGAAAAUAGAGGACUGAAAAGACUUUUAUGAUGUAUUAAUUAUGAACUUUGAGGUGGUAACUUUAAUCGUAGUAGUGUAGGGGAGGGUAAUGACUGUUUCUUUAUGAAGCCUAAAUUGAUUUCUUGGAGUGUUAUAGGCUUGAAUGAUACUGGCAAAUGCCUUAGAAUCAAAAGUCUACUUUGGCAAUGGAAGAGAUAUAUUAUUCGCUUGCAGCAGAUUAAAUUGGAAAAUGUUUCUCUUGAAGAUGUGUUCAAAGCCUGUGGGGAUCCCCCCAAAUAGAUUGGUUGUUAGUUAGCCUCUUGAGGGGCCUUUGAUGGAGUAUUGCUGGUGUGUGACAUUAGUGUGAAAGUGAUGUGUGUAUGGGGGAGCAUACUAUGGCUUAUUCUUUUAGGAAUGCUGAAGAUGCCUUUGCUUGGGCUUUGGUAGGAGUUUAUGGGCCAAAUUGCGAUUGCAAAAGAAGGUUUCUGCAUGAGUUGUCCAACUCCUAUAGACUUUAUUGGUUUAAUUUUCAUGUUUGUAUUGUGUUUUUUCUCUUUCUAUAUGAGUAUCUAGUACCGACUUUCAAUACCCAUUGAUGAGUGCAGUCCAAGUAACCACAUUCCUACUUGAAGUUUCAUCAGCCUUAACUAAUUUACUGAACCCCUGAUAAUUACUAAUGAAAUUAUUGUCCACCUAUGGGACAGAAUCCUGUAAACAUCUCACAUCCACCAUGUAAUCUUACAACCUUUUUUAAACUAUGAAUCAGUCAAAAUCAGUGCGCAAGCCAGCCAAUACUUAGCCACUAACUAUCAAAUAGUUGUCAGAAAGAUUGCCGUUUGGGUUUUCUUAGGGUAUAGAGAUAUUGCUUUGGUUUCGAUAGUGGAACAUCGAGUUCAGAUCUUUUGUACAAAAAACAAUGAAAAUUCGUGGUGGCCCUAUAAUGCUUAUUAUUUCCUGACCGUAAUUUUUCCUGUGGGGAAUGCGGGGCUUGUCUUGGCCCAAAAGCUGGCUCUCUACCUUGGUGGGGGUGGGCUGCGGGGAGGGUAGCAUCCCUAAUUGGUCGUAUACUCCAUGUAUGUUAUCGUAUAUACUAGAUAGUCAUUCUUACCAUGUAUAGAUGCUAAUAGUUAGGAACUUAUAUGUUGGUUGUUACCUUGUAUAUUUCUUACCUUGUAAAGAAUGGUUGAUUGCCUAGUUAAUGAGAAGGAGGCUGCGCACAUAGCAGACAGGUUUUUCCAAAAAGUUCUCUGAGUAUUCUUGGUUCCUUAGCAAUUUGACAUGGUAUCAAGAGGAGGAUCAUAGUUUUCCUGUCUUCUAUGAAUUUUUUUUCCUUUCUCGGGGGCUUCUUUGUGUGUUCUUCAUUCUCGGCACUGUCUGAGUUUGUGUUUGGCCUUUCGUGUGCUUCUCGGUGCUGUCAGAGUUUGUUCUUGGCCUCUCGUGUGACUAUCGGCAUUGUCUGAGUUGAAGUCUGGGGUUCCUUGUGAUUUUCGGUGCCCUCUAAGUGCUUCUUGUGCAUUAUUGGUACUGUCUGCGUCGGUUUUUGGCAUUCCUAGUGUUUUUCGACCCCGUUUGUUGCUCUAUGGGAUUUCAUCUCAUUGUCGGUACUUUCUUUUUUCUGGUUUUUGGGAUUUUGACGCAGAGUACUAUGUUCUUUUCGACGCAGAGUUAUUUUUUUUGGCCUGGGUGUUAUCUCCGAAUCUAGGACACGUGGUUGUUGUGGCUGCAGCAACUGGGUGUUAUUUUUUUUGUAGUUCCUAAAUCUUGUCACUGCGGCAUCUCUCCGGUGGACGUUCUUGUGGCUGCAUCAUGUUAUCAGAUAAGUUUGAUUCCUUUCAUCUUCGUUUGACUGGCAAAAAUUAUUCAGCUUGGGAGUUUCAGUUUCAAUUAUUUUUCUAGGGGAAAGAGUUGUGGGGUCAUAGUGACGGGAGUGAUCCCGCACCUAGCGAUGUAGAGGCUUUGUCUAAGUGGGAAAUCAAAGAUGCUCAGGUUAUGACCUGGAUUCUUAGCUCGGUUGAGACUCACCUUGUUCUGAAUAUGAGGCCUUAUAAAACUGCCGCUAAUAAGUGGAAUUACCUUAACAAGGUUUACAAUCAAGACAACACGGCUCAGUGCUUUCAAUUGGAGUAUGAGAUGGCUAAUUUCACAUAGGGAAGUCUCUCUGUUGAGGAAUAGUUUUCUGGUUUUCAAAAUUUGUGGGCUGACUAUUCAGACAUUGUUUAUGCUAAUGUUCCCGCUACAGCUCUCUCUGCCGUUCAAGUAGUGCAUGAAACAAGCCAGAGAGAUCAAUUCUUGAUGAAGCUCUAUUCCGAUUUUGAAAUUGCACAUUCUAAUCUGAUGAAUUGUCAUCCUGUACCAUCUCUGGAUGCUUGUUUGAGCGAACUUCUUCGUGAGGAGCAGCAUAUGGUAACUUAGGCUGCCAUGGAACAUCGGGCUAAUGUUAGUGCACCUGUUAUUGUGGCUUAUGCAGCACAAGGGAGGAAUAAGGGUAGCAACAUGCGUGUUGUCCAGUGUUUUAGUUGUAAAUUUUUUGGUCAUAUUGCUCGGGAUUGCCCCAAGAAGUUCUGUAACUACUGCAAGAAAAAAGGCCAUAUCAUCUCUGCUUGUCCCAUUCGCCUUGAAAGGAAGCAGGUUAUUGCUUAUCAUGCCUCCACUGGUGCCUCUAGCUCUGCUGCACUGCCUGUUGCCUCGUCUGUUGUUCCUAUUCUUGCUCCUAUAGCCUUAGCAAACCCGAACACACUCACUCCUGAAAUGGUACGACAGAUUAUCAUUUGGUUUUUUUUGCUUUUGGGCUCUCAGGUAAUCAUAAAGUUUCUUCUAAGCCAUGAUAUUUUGACUCCAGAGCCUCUAACCAUAUGACCAAUACGGUUGUUCCUCUUUCCAAUGUCAGAAAUUAUGAUGGAACUCUGAAAAUUAACACCGCUGAUGGCAGUUCUCUACUUAUCAGCGCUGAUCAAGUGUCAGGAAAGAUGAUCGCGAAGGGGCCUAACGUGGGACGACUCUUUCCUUUCUACGUUUCUCCUUCCACCAUUAUCCCUAGUUUUCCUUUACUUUCUUUUGCAUGUAAUGUUGUUGGUUCUGGAAAUAAGAGGUGGCAUAGUCGUCUAGGCCACCCAAACUUUGAUGUACUUCAUACUUUGUUUAAUUCUAAUUUAUUGGGAAAUAAAACAUGUUCUUCUCUUGAUCUUUC